RNAcentral lists this long non-coding RNA (3038 nucleotides) under Canis lupus familiaris (dog). RNAcentral's name for it is "lncRNA (ENSCAFG00040020914.1)". The record is from RNAcentral. Lineage: Eukaryota; Metazoa; Chordata; Mammalia; Carnivora; Canidae.
AUGCAUUGUGAAACUACAGACUUGGUUUGUUUGCAAUUCAGCAAGUUCUCCCACAGCCUGAAACCUGAUCAAAUGCAACGUGGUUGGACUGGUGCCUUGUCAUGCUCCUGGAAUUCCCUCUCGUCCUGCUCCAUAGAAGGCUGCUUUCAGCUAUCCAAUGAUCCUACUGCCAGAGGGAGCAGAAAGAGAGCCAACAUUAUGGAUGUACUGCAGAGUUUCUUUUCUGUGAUGAUGAAGCUGUUGAGUUAGGAGCCAACCUUCUGCUUCUAGGUUUUAAUUCAUCUUGGCCUACUGUUCAGGUUCAAUGGUUCUCAGAACCUGGUUGCACCAAUUAGACCAGAAUCUCGGGAUCCCUGGGUGGCGCAGCGGUUUGUCACCUGCCUUUGGCCCAGGGCGCAAUCCUGGAGACCCGAGAUCGAAUCCCACGUCGGGCUCCCGGUGCAUGGAGCCUGCUUCUCCCUCUGCCUAUGUCUCUGCCUCUCUCUCUCUCUCUCUGUGACUAUCAUAAAUAAAUAAAUUAAUUAAUUAAAAAAAGAAAAAAACAGAAUCUCUGGGGGAAAGGACCCAGCCAUCAAUAUUUUUUAAAGGUCCUAAAUGAUUUUACUAUACAGGUAGGCUUCAGAGCCACUAGUUUUAGUGCAACUGUGAAUGGAUGCCUUCUAGAAGCUACUGCAUUAGAUGCCUCACUACCUGCUGACUUCUCCUUACAUCACCCAGAAUAAUUGUUUUUGUGUGUUGUUGUUCAGCAGUGAGAAAAGUGGCAUUAAGCUGAGAGUUCUCCAUUUUUCUCACAGCCUUCAUUUGCCUUUAGGUUUUUUUUUUCCCUUUGGAUAAAUGGAUAUUCAUGACAGUUUGCAAAUAUCUUUUCUAUUUACCACCUGCGGCAUUGUACUGCUUUCUGAAUAAUGGACUUUGUGAGUUAGUUAUUUGCAACAUAGCUAGCAGAUAUAUCUUUUGGCUGGAUUGUACUUUUGUCUAUUUUUUCAUUGCUGAUGUAGGAUUCUCUAUAUUUUUAUGUUCCUUUGAGUAUAUAAUUACCAGCUAAGGGAGGGAAAGAUGUUUAUGCUUUGUGAUUAUUAUCAUUUUGACUAUUAUAACUGCUGUAUAAUGAGUACAUAGUAUUAUCAGACACCAUAACUAUAAACCAUACAUGAAUUAUCACAUUUUUCCUUCACAAGAAUUUUGAGAGGUAGAUAAAGUAUCUCCAUUUUAUAAAUAAUUCUCUAGUUGUUAUUUUACAUGAAAACAUUCAGAUGAAUUAUGAAAAAUGACAAAAGGCACUCUAUCCAAUGAUUUACUAGUGAUGGAUUCCAGGGUAAAGAAGAGGGUAGAGAGAAAAAUUGAUGCAAGGUAUUCUACUACUGCAAAUUCAGGCUUUCCUAGGACCAGGCUCUAUAAGAGUCAAGCCUGGUGAUACAAUUGGAAACUACUCUCCAGCCAAUAUUAUCUAGAACCAGCCUAAUUAGCCCUGUUCCCUUUAUUCUUCCAGCAGUAAUUCCCAGCAUCCCUAGUGUCAUUGAUCUGAUGAUGAAUUUGGAAUUUGGUAUCCAUGUGAACAUUGAAAGUUAACGGAAUGAAUUAUUUUUUCUUCUUACCAUGUAUGGAUUACUUUGCUUGAAUGGUCCUUAACUCAAUUUCCUGGUGUCAGGCUCUCCUAUUAUUCUCCUCAGGAAAUGCAACCUCAAUUUGAAUCCCUGAGAAAUGACUAAGAGCCAUGAAUUUCUCAUUUUAUAUUUACCAGUACUUUUCUGAGUGGCUAGAUCUCGCUUCAGAGCUCUCUUGUUCCAUCUUUUCAAAAUAUUUUCAUUUUUAAAAUUUUAAUUUUUUACAGAUUUUUUCCUUAUCUAUUGAGUUAUAAUUGACAUACAAUACUAUAUUAGUUUUAGGUGUACAGUACAGUGAUUGACAUUUGUAUAUAUUGCUAAAUGGUCACCACAAUAAGUCUAGUCUGUACAAACUUAAUAUAAUAUUAUUGACUACACUUCCUAUGCUGUACCUUACAUCGCCAUGACUUUAUUACGGUUAUUUAUUGUAUAACCAAAAGUUUGUAUUUCUUAACCCCCUUCAACCCCCAUCACUCUUCCCUCUGGAAAUCACCAAACUAUUUUUUAGAUCUGUGGGUCUGGGUUAUGUUUUGUUUUGUUUUUUGGUUUGGUUUUAAAUUCCGUACAGAGGUGAAAUCAUGUGGUGUUAAUCUUUCUCUGUGUGACUUAUUUCACUUGACAUAAUAUUUUCAAGGUCCUUCCAUGUUGUCACAAAUGGUAAGAUCUCAUUUUUUAUGGCUGAGUAGAAUUCCAUUAUAUAUAUAUAUAAUGGAACAUCUUUAUAUAUACCACAUUAUAUAUAUAUAUAUAUACAUAUAUAUAUUUAUUUAUUUAUUUAUAUAUAUACCACAUCUUCUUUAUAUAUACCACAUUUUACACACACAUUUUCUUUUUUGUUGUUGUUGUUUUGUUUUUAUUGAAGUUUGAUUUGCCAACCUAUAGUAUAACUUGCUCAUCCUACCAAGUGCCCUCCUCAGUGCCCAUCACCCAGUUACCCCAACCCCCCACCCACUUCCCCUUCCACAACCCUCUGGUUCAUUACCCAGAGUUAGGAGUCUCUUAUGGUUUGUCUCCCUCUCUAAUUUUUCCCACUCAGUUCCCCUCCUUUCCCUUAUAAUCCCUUUCACUAUUUCUUAUAUUCCUCGUAUGAGUGAAACCAUAUAAUGAUUGCCCUUCUCCAAUUGACUUACUUCACUCAGCAUGAUACCCUCCAAUUCCAUCCACGUUGAAACAAAUAGUGGGUAUUCGUCCUUUCUGAUGGCUGAGUAAUAUUCCAUUGUGUACAUAUACCACAUCUUCUUUAUCCAUUCAUCUGUCGAAGGACAUAAUGGCUCCUUCCACAGUUUGGCUAUUGUGGACAUUGCUGCUAUAAACAUUGGGGUACAGGUGUUCCGGUGUUUCACUACAUCUGUAUCAUUGGAGUAAAUCCCCAGCAGUGCAUUGCUGGGUCGUAGGGUAGCUCUAUUUUUAAGUCUUUUAUAAGUAGUAUUUUUU